Cucurbita pepo subsp. pepo (vegetable marrow) is the source of this 909-nucleotide non-coding RNA. The record is from RefSeq and is a predicted model, not a curated record. Lineage: Eukaryota; Viridiplantae; Streptophyta; Magnoliopsida; Cucurbitales; Cucurbitaceae.
ACCUCGGUUGGGAUGCUGCUGAAUUGAACCCUCAUGAAUAGAUGAGAUAGAGAUGACAAGGAAAUUGUGAAGAUUACUAUACUUUUUAAUCUAAUAGCUGCCACCAUUUUCUGCAAAUUGCAUAUUAAAGAAAGUUGUGUGAUAUUAUCAUUUGUUUGAUUGUUUUAACAGAGCUACCUCUCUGCAGUAUGGUGAAGAACAGGUACAGCACUUUCGAGUGAAGGAUGUGUUGAUCUUUCCAUCCACGGGAAAGCAGGUAAUCAUAGCUCCAUUUCCCCUGCCACAUGCUUCCUGCUGUUGAUAUUGUGAUCAGACGCCGUGGAGGUUUGCUGCUUCUUCUCUUCAUUAAAACAAAAAGUCUUGAGAUGGAAAGGAACUGUGUGAAGAAAUAUACUUUCUAGAGACACUAAUAGAUCACUCCAAGUUUUCCUUUCCAUGAAAAAGAAAAUUGUGUGAAAAGAGAAACUGUUCAGAUUCAGAAGAGUGUUCGAAAAUGGAUAUCUGCAGAAAUCUGAAAGAUGAAAAGGAGAAUCUGCUUACCAAGGAGAUAUCAUUUCUCUUUGAAGAAGCUUUGAUUUUGAAUGCUUGAGUUGCAAAUUUGGGUGCAGCAGCCUUAUUGAAUGAACUUGAAAUGGAGUUGACAUUUCCAGCUGCUACAAGGUGCCCAGCUUCUGCCAUUUCUCCGUAAGAGACGAUAAUGCGUGGAGAAAGCAGGAAGUUGGAAUUGGAACCUUAUCUGCUCAAAAUAUAAGGCCCCAAUUCCUUCUUGGAAACGUCUUCAUUUUGAUCUGAGUUUAGCUAUUUAUCUCAAUACCUCUUUGGCUGCUGUAAAUUUUAUGGUCCAUAAUUUGUGUGCCAACUCUUCCUAAUUUUGCAUUUUUACAAUAUUAUACAGAUUUUCUUUUAAGA